UCUCCGUAGGUGAACCUGCGGAGGGAUCAUUACAUAGAUCAUUCCCUACACUGUGGAUCAACCACCCUAUGCUCUCAUUACUUUGUUGCUUUAGCGCUCCAUUAAGCUCCGACCCGACUACCCGUCCCAGCUGUUAAGCGCCAGCCGGAUGGCCCAAACCCACAAAUAUUACUAUCAUCUGCAUACUACAUAAUAAUUAAAACUUUCAACACCGGAUCUCUUAACUCUGGCCUCCAUGAAAAACGCAAUAGAUCGGAACUCCCCACGUCUGAACACCCA
This 279-nucleotide unclassified non-coding RNA is filed under the name plant metagenome. RNAcentral's name for it is "partial contains small subunit ribosomal RNA, internal transcribed spacer 1, and 5.8S ribosomal RNA". The record is from RNAcentral.